GGGAUCUUGCACAAUGGGGGCAACCCUGAUGCAGCAACGCCGCGUGGAGGAUGACGUCCUUCGGGAUGUAAACUCCUUUUCAGGGGGAGCAGACAGGAGCGUACCCCUGGAAUCAGUCACGGCUAACUACGUGCCAGCAGCCGCGGUAACACGUAGGUGGCGAGCGUUAUCCGGAAUUACUGGGCGUAAAGGGUCCGUAGGUGGCCUGGCAGGUCUGCUGUGAAAGCGCCCGGCUCAACCGGGCGAGGCCAGUGGAAACCGCCGGGCUCGAGUCGCGCAGAGGGUUCUGGAAUUCCCGGUGUAGUGGUGGAAUGCGUAGAGAUCGGGAGGAACACCAGAGGCGAAGGCGGGGACCUGGGCGCGGACUGACACUGAGGGACGAAAGCGUGGGGAGCGAA
This 398-nucleotide ribosomal RNA is filed under the name uncultured bacterium. RNAcentral describes it as "bacterial SSU rRNA". It matches the Rfam family "Bacterial small subunit ribosomal RNA", at positions 358 to 772 of the family's 1533-position model. The record is from RNAcentral.